CUCUCUCUCUCCCUCUCUCUCUCUUUCUCUUUAAAGAAGUUGGGGAUGGUGGAGAUGGUGGGUGUGGUGGGGAUGGUGGAGAUGGUGGAGAUAGUGGGGAUAGUGGAGGUGGGUCAUUACAUACUACUCCCUAACCGUGCGGGUUUUGAUGAAAAGAACGUUGAUGCGAUCAGUAAGUGUAUGGAUAGUCCGGUUUCAGUGGUUUACUGUUGUGCUGAUCUGUUUCGGUUAAUGAUUAACGAUCUGUACAGCGAGUUUAGCUGGUCGUUGUACGAGGACCUUCGCAUGUUGGUUGGAUGGGGAAGGUUGUCAUCAACCAACUGGAACGUGAGGCUGUACCAUCUUCAACAAGCUGUCGGUAUGCAAAAGGAGGAUGCGUUUUCCAAGGCAACCUCCUGAGCAGCUACUCGGGCGGCCUCCUGAGCGGCCUGCCUGGCUGCCUCCUGGGCAAUCUGCUGAAGUGCCUCCUGAGCGGCUUGUCUAGCGGCAUCCUGAACCAUCUGUCUCAAUGCGUCCUGAUCAAUAGGCGGAGCCGCCUGCUGCGGAACUGCGGGCUGGACAUGCUCGUUCUCAGCCUCAACCUCUCUAGCGUCUCUGACGGUCUGAGUACGAACAACUCUCUUCCUAGGCGGCAUCUGAAAGGGAAAGCGAAAAAGUAAGCUUCUGUUGAAUUCUUGAUACAACAUUUAAAGAGGAGAGAUACCGAACGAAAAGGUGCUAUUUAUUUUUGUUUUCAAAAUUCCCAAAUCCCCGAAAAUAUUUUGAAAUCGUCUAAAACCGUUAAAAUCGAAUAAAACCAAAUAAAACCAAGUCUCCAAAAUCGCCAUCCCGGGUCGGAGCCGGGAUGGAACCCCGCUCUGAUACCAAAACUGUGACACCCGUCACUUUCGAAAUAAUAAAAACAAUUCGAUAAAUAAUAGUUUAUGAAAUCUCCAUUUAUAAAUAUAAAAGUCAAUAUAGUAUCACAAGGCUUAAAGGCCCAAUAACGAUAACAUNNNNNNNNNNNNNNNNNNNNNNNNNNNNNNNNNNNNNNNNNNNNGCGCCGAGGCGAAUCUUCGGGAGGCGCGUGCGGCUUCGUCCGGGCUCCGUUUGAGGCGUGGUUGGUGUCUACGGCUUCGUCUCGACGAGAGGAACACGAUGAUGGCCUUGGAUGUACGAGAUGAUCAAUGGUUAGGAAGUUAUGGGUGAUUUACUAAACGGAAACGAAAAUGAGCUUAAGAAAUGCGGUUUUCGGCGGUUACCUAGGGCGUUUAUCGGUGGUGGCAGGCUGAACGUGAUCACGGCACACGGUUGCUCCGGCGACGAGCUCAGGUGAGCUUUCUCUCUCUUUCUCUCUUUCUUUCUCUCUCUCUCUCUCUCUCCCUCUCUCUCUCUUUCUCUUUAAAGAAGUUGGGGAUGGUGGAGAUGGUGGGUGUGGUGGGGAUGGUGGAGAUGGUGGGAGUGGUGGGGAUGGUGGAGAUGGUGGAGAUAGUGGGGAUAGUGGAGGUGGGUCAUUACAAUUCUCCCCCACUAACAAGGAAUUCGACCCCGAAUUCACAUCACCAAACUCUCCAAUGACAUCCCGAAACAGCUCUGGAUAAUCAAUCCUCAUUUGGGGCUCAGACUC
This 1606-nucleotide long non-coding RNA is filed under the name Brassica napus (rape). Its description in RNAcentral is "long non-coding RNA (BNAP_LNC020348)". Lineage: Eukaryota; Viridiplantae; Streptophyta; Magnoliopsida; Brassicales; Brassicaceae. The record is from RNAcentral.